UUAUCACAAGCUGCAUUUCAAUGCCACGAAACAAGGAUGGCUAAAUGAAAAUUCACGUAUUGAAUAUGAAAACAUCAUUGCACAUAAGCAUGCAGCCUUGGAUGAAUUAAAUUCUAAAGGAAUAACAAUUACCACUACUAUGGAGCAUCAACUUGAGAAAGAAGCCAUAAAAAGUGUUUGUGGUAGGAAGAAAACAAUACAAUC
Molecule: long non-coding RNA, 204 nt
Filed under: Helianthus annuus (common sunflower)
Lineage: Eukaryota; Viridiplantae; Streptophyta; Magnoliopsida; Asterales; Asteraceae
Description: hypothetical non coding rna
Source: RNAcentral